RNAcentral lists this ribosomal RNA (262 nucleotides) under uncultured Gammaproteobacteria bacterium. RNAcentral describes it as "partial 16S ribosomal RNA". It matches the Rfam family "Bacterial small subunit ribosomal RNA", at positions 355 to 611 of the family's 1533-position model. The record is from RNAcentral. Lineage: Bacteria; Pseudomonadati; Pseudomonadota; Gammaproteobacteria.
UGGGGAAUAUUGGACAAUGGGCGCAAGCCUGAUCCAGCCAUGCCGCGUGAGUGAAGAAGGCCUUCGGGUUGUAAAGCUCUUUAAGCGGGGAGGAAGGUCAGCUACUUAAUACGUAGUUGAAUUGACGUUACCUGCAGAAUAAGCACCGGCUAACUCUGUGCCAGCAGCCGCGGUAAUACAGAGGGUGCGAGCGUUAAUCGGAAUUACUGGGCGUAAAGCGUGCGUAGGUGGUUUCUUAAGCUGGAUGUGAAAGCCCGGCUGA